CCUACGGGAGGCAGCAGUGAGGAAUAUUGGUCAAUGGGCGGAAGCCUGAACCAGCCAAGUAGCGUGCAGGAUGACGGCCCUACGGGUUGUAAACUUCUUUUAUACGGGAAUAACGCGCCUUACGUGUCCGGCUUUGCAUGUACCUUAUGAAUAAGGACCGGCUAAUUCCGUGCCAGCAGCCGCGGUAAUACGGAAGGUCCGGGCGUUAUCCGGAUUUAUUGGGUUUAAAGGGAGCGUAGGCCGGAUGUUCAGCGUGCUGUGAAAUGUCCGGGGUCAACCCGGGCCUUGCAGGGCGAACUGGGGUGCUUGAGUGAGAGGAGAGGAGGCGGAAUUCGGCGGGUAGCGGUGAAAUGCUUAGAUAAGAGGAAGAAACCCGAUUGCGAAGGCAGCUUGCUGAAGCGGAACUGACGCUGAUGCUCGAAAGCGCGGGUAUUGAACAGGAUUAGAUACCCCUGGUAGUC
RNAcentral lists this ribosomal RNA (461 nucleotides) under uncultured bacterium. Its description in RNAcentral is "partial 16S ribosomal RNA". It matches the Rfam family "Bacterial small subunit ribosomal RNA", at positions 338 to 795 of the family's 1533-position model. The record is from RNAcentral.